This is an RNA transcript of Delphinapterus leucas (beluga whale), 2862 nucleotides long. It is a transcript of the gene named plasminogen activator, urokinase, with no coding region annotated. Lineage: Eukaryota; Metazoa; Chordata; Mammalia; Artiodactyla; Monodontidae. The record is from RefSeq and is a predicted model, not a curated record.
AAUAUAGAGCCAGCACUGCCCGCUAGCAGCACAGCGCGGAGACUGGAGCCCUAGAGCCCGCCCGAGCAUCAGAGUGUCCACUAGUCCCCGCUAUUCCGGCCCUGCGCCCCUCCGGCCAUAGGUGCGGAGCCGCUGUCUAGAGCCCCAGCCUCACCACCAUGAGACUCCUGCUGGCAUGCCUGCUCCUCUGCGCCCUGGUCGUGAGAGACUCCGAGGGCAGCCACGAACUUCAUCAAGUGUCUGGUGCAUCGAAGUGUGGCUGUCUGAAUGGAGGGAAAUGUGUGUCCUACAAGUACUUCUCCAACAUUCAACGAUGCAACUGCCCAAAGAAAUUCCAAGGGGAACACUGUGAGAUAGAUACAUCGAAAACCUGCUAUCAGGGGAAUGGUCACUCUUACCGAGGGAAGGCCAACACUGACACCAGUGGCCGGCCCUGCCUGGCCUGGAACUCUCCCACCAUCCUUCUGAAAACGUACCAUGCCCACAGACCUGAUGCCCUUCAGCUGGGACUGGGGAAACACAAUUACUGCAGGAACCCAGACAAUCAGAGGAGACCCUGGUGCUAUGUGCACGUUGGCCUAAUGCAGAUUGUCCAGGAGUGCAUGGUGCACAGCUGCUCUUCUGGAAAAAGUGCCCUCUCUCCUCCAGAAAAGUUACAGUGCGGCCAGAAGGCUCUGAGGCCCCGCUUUAAGAUUGUUGGGGGAGAAUUCACCACCAUCGAGAACCAGCCUUGGUUUGCAGCCAUCUAUAGGAGGCACCGUGCAGGCUCUGUCACCUACGUGUGCGGUGGCAGCCUCAUCAGUCCCUGCUGGGUGGUCAGUGCCACACACUGCUUCAUUGAAUACCAAAAGAAGGAGGACUACAUUGUCUACCUGGGUCGGUCAAAGCUUAACUCCAUCACGCCUGGCGAGAUGCAGUUUGAGGUGCAAAAGCUCAUCUUACAUGAGGACUACAGUGCUGACACCCUUGCUCACCACAAUGAUAUUGCCUUGCUGAAGAUCCGUUCCAGCACAGGCCAAUGUGCACAGCCAUCCCGGUCCAUACAGGUCAUCUGCCUGCCCCCAGCGAAUGGGGAUGCCCGUUUUGGUACAAGCUGUGAGGUUACUGGCUUUGGAAAAGAGAAUCCCUCUGACUAUAUCUAUCCAGAGCAGCUGAAAAUGACUGCUGUGAAGCUGGUUUCCCACGAGGAGUGUCAGCAGCCCCACUACUAUGGCACUGAAGUCACCAGCAAAAUGCUGUGUGCGGCUGACCCACAGUGGGAAACAGAUUCCUGCCAGGGAGACUCAGGGGGGCCGCUGGUCUGCUUCACCCAAGGCCUCAUGACUCUGACUGGGAUUGUGAGCUGGGGCCGUGAAUGUGCCAUGAAGGAAAAGCCAGGCGUCUACACAAGGGUCUCAAGCUUCCUGCCCUGGAUCCACACUCACAUUGGGGGGGAGAAUGGCCUAGCCCUCUGAGGGCCCCCAGAGAACCAAGGGAACAGACAGGUACCACCCACUCCCACAGUGACCGUCAUUUUUGCAGUAGGGCCAUCUGCACAGCUAUAUAUAAUGAAGAGACUGAGGAAGAUGAGCUCUGCAGAGGUGGUUUUGCUUGUGCUGCCCAUCAGGGAUUGCAUAGGUGUAUUUUGUGGAAGAUGAAACCUGCUAGGAGAGAAAAGGCAAAGAUGUGAAGCUAAGGAGCCCAGCCCAGGCUGAGUUGCUGCUCAGCCUCUGCAUACCCCGCAGGGGCCAAGAAAGAUCUUGUUCCAACAUGAACAGCGCCAGCAUCAGGGCUCACAGACACUGAAAACAGGAAGUAUGAGCCCUACUGGUGGGUUGAGCAAUGCACUGCUAACAAUCUUCAGACCAUUUCCCAGCCACCUGACCGACCCCAGCCAGCUGCUACCUCUUCCCAGUCACAGACCUCACUCUGGGGUAGCAGGAAUCAGCCACUUCUCCAGCAACCAGUUUCAAGGCUCCAGAUACAACCCUGUCACUCACUUUAGAGACUGCCUUUUUCUAGUGCUCCCUAAGUGCUGGACAAUGUACUAAGUUCUUCACCUAUUAUCUGGUUUAAUCCUUAUAACAAUCCUAUGGGGAAGGUGCCAUCCUUAGCCCCAUUUAACAGCAGAGAAAAUGGAGAUACAGAGAGAUUAGGUGACUUGCCCAAGGCAAUGUGGCUGGUAAGUAGCAGAGUGCUGGCUCCAGAGUGCACAGGCCCAGCACUCUCAGCAGGGCCCAACCUGAGGGAAGGUUAGCAGCCCUCUUUUCAAGCUCCCUACUUCAGGGAUGCUGGGUGCAGGGAGGCUGAGUGUAUGCGAAUUUCAACCCUGGCCUAGAUUAUAAUUCUUUCCUCUUAAAAGAUUCCCAGGCCAAGUAAGCAAAUCACACUCAGCCACCAGUUUCAAAGUAAAACUUUACCCUUCUCAAGCAAACCUCAGCCUUUUUGGUUGAAACCUGAUUUCAUUGAAGUGGUUUUUGUUUUCACCAGAACCCCUCCUUCUGAAAUAGUCUGUGGCUCAUUCUAUUAUCAGGACUCAACUUGAUUUCCACUCAUGCUCUGCCUUUCCCAAGCCAACCCUGCACAACAACAACACCCCUGAAUACACCCCUCCACCCUCAUCCCUGUUUGUCCACCUUCCUCCCCAGUUGCUGACAUUUGAGCCCGCCCUUUGAAUCUCAGUGAGAGGAGUUUGCUGAGGUGUUCUUUAAAUAACAGUACUACUGAGGUAUACUAAAUCACAUACCACACAAUUCACCCGUUUAAAGUGUGCAACUCAAUGAUUUUUUAGUAUAUUCACAGAGUUGUGCAACUAUCACCACAAUCAAUUCUAGAACAUUUUCACCACCUCAAAAAUAAACCCCAUACCGGGGAAGAGGGAUA